CCUACGGGUGGCAGCAGUGAGGAAUAUUGGUCAAUGGACGCAAGUCUGAACCAGCCAUGCCGCGUGCAGGAAGACGGCCCUAUGAGUUGUAAACUGCUUUUGUACGAGGGUAAACGCAGAUACGCGUAUCUGUCUGAAAGUAUCGUACGAAUAAGGAUCGGCUAACUCCGUGCCAGCAGCCGCGGUAAUACGGAGGAUUCAAGCGUUAUCCGGAUUUAUUGGGUUUAAAGGGUGCGUAGGCGGUCGGAUAAGUCAGAGGUGAAAGCCCGCGGCUCAACUGCGGAAUUGCCUCUGAUACUGUUAGGCUAGAGAGUAGUUGCGGUAGGCGGAAUGUAUGGUGUAGCGGUGAAAUGCUUAGAGAUCAUACAGAACACCGAUUGCGAAGGCAGCUUACUAAGCUACCUCUGACAUUGAGGCACGAAAGCGUGGGGAGCAAACAGGAUUAGAUACCCGAGUAGUC
This 460-nucleotide ribosomal RNA is filed under the name uncultured bacterium. Its description in RNAcentral is "partial 16S ribosomal RNA". It matches the Rfam family "Bacterial small subunit ribosomal RNA", at positions 338 to 795 of the family's 1533-position model. The record is from RNAcentral.